This 655-nucleotide ribosomal RNA is filed under the name Pantoea agglomerans. RNAcentral's name for it is "bacterial SSU rRNA". It matches the Rfam family "Bacterial small subunit ribosomal RNA", at positions 46 to 692 of the family's 1533-position model. The record is from RNAcentral. Lineage: Bacteria; Pseudomonadati; Pseudomonadota; Gammaproteobacteria; Enterobacterales; Erwiniaceae.
GCCUAACACAUGCAAGUCGGACGGUAGCACAGAGAGCUUGCUCUUGGGUGACGAGUGGCGGACGGGUGAGUAAUGUCUGGGGAUCUGCCCGAUAGAGGGGGAUAACCACUGGAAACGGUGGCUAAUACCGCAUAACGUCGCAAGACCAAAGAGGGGGACCUUCGGGCCUCUCACUAUCGGAUGAACCCAGAUGGGAUUAGCUAGUAGGCGGGGUAAUGGCCCACCUAGGCGACGAUCCCUAGCUGGUCUGAGAGGAUGACCAGCCACACUGGAACUGAGACACGGUCCAGACUCCUACGGGAGGCAGCAGUGGGGAAUAUUGCACAAUGGGCGCAAGCCUGAUGCAGCCAUGCCGCGUGUAUGAAGAAGGCCUUCGGGUUGUAAAGUACUUUCAGCGGGGAGGAAGGCGAYGGGGUUAAUAACCCUGUCGAUUGACGUUACCCGCAGAAGAAACACCGGCUAACUCCGUGCCAGCAGCCGCGGUAAUACGGAGGGUGCAAGCGUUAAUCGGAAUUACUGGGCGUAAAGCGCACGCAGGCGGUCUGUUAAGUCAGAUGUGAAAUCCCCGGGCUUAACCUGGGAACUGCAUUUGAAACUGGCAGGCUUGAGUCUUGUAGAGGGGGGUAGAAUUCCAGGUGUAGCGGUGAAAUGCGUA